AUUCCAGCUCCAAUAGCGAAUACUAAUUCUGCUGCAGUUAAAAAGCUCGUAGUUGAACUUCUGGUAGGACAGAUCCGGCCUUUGGAUGAAUGUCCAUUGUAUGCUGUGUGUCUUGUCUGGCCAUCCUUUAUGUCUUUUAGGCGUAAUCUUUCACUGUAAAAAAAUUAGGGUGUUUCAAGCAAAAGUUAUUUGGAAUAUAUUAGUAUGGGAUGAUAAGAUAGGCUCUUGAGUGCUACUUUGUUGGUUUAUACACUUAGAGAAUGAUUAACAGGGACAGUCAGGGGCACUCGUAUUCCGCCGAGAGAGGUGAAAUUCUCAGACCAGCGGAAGACGAACCACUGCGAAGGCAUUUGCCAGGGAUGUUUUCAUUA
This 371-nucleotide ribosomal RNA is filed under the name Thraustochytriidae sp. Its description in RNAcentral is "Thraustochytriaceae sp. partial small subunit ribosomal RNA". It matches the Rfam family "Eukaryotic small subunit ribosomal RNA", at positions 582 to 975 of the family's 1831-position model. The record is from RNAcentral. Lineage: Eukaryota; Bigyra; Thraustochytrida; Thraustochytriidae.